UCCCGGCCCGUCCCUGGGGCGGAGCGGCACCGCCCGCAGCUCCCGCUGGGGCCGCCCCGCUCCGCCCGCCCGGGCCCUCCCGGUUCCGGAGCGGCCGCGCAGGUGGAGCCGAAGCCCGCGGAGUCCCCGCGCGGCCCGGCCGGGGCCGCCCCCGCCCAAGGACGCUCCGGCAUCGCCUCGGUGCCGCCGCCAGCCCAAGGUAGGCACCGGGACCCCGGGACGAGGGGACACCGCGGCGGCCGCUGCUCCACCGCGGCCGGGGGACAGCCGCGGGUCUGUCACCCCCGGGGGUUGUGGCGUCCUCGUCCCCUCUCCGCGUCCCGGCUCGGCUCCGUUCCCCGCAGGAGGGAGCAGCCCCCGCUCCGAGGGGCUCUGCUCGCCCCCUCCCCAGCUCUGUCACCCCCUGCUCCCGCAGCCGCCGGGGCUGGCAGGGAACGGGCGCUCCGUGCGGCCCCGGGAGCUCCCCAGCCGGGAGCGGGCUGGGCUGCACGGGGAGUGCCCAUCCCGGGGCUGUCGGAUCCCGGCAGUGCCUGCCUGGGCUCUGCAGCUCCAGCCGGGGCUCGCUGGGGUGUCGGUGACCCCAUAUCGAGGGGACAGCUGCUGGCAGGGCUGUCACCCCCGGGAGCGGAGGUGCAUCGGGGGAUGGCGGCUCCCGGAGCUGCUGAUCCAGCCCGGAGGAGCCCGUGUCCCAUGGGAUGGGUGCGUGUGGCUGCGGGGCUCAGCUGCACAAGCUGCCAGAGCUGGGGGACAGAGCUCAGGCUCAGCAAUCCCCGGCUCGCCGCGUCCAGCCAGGCCCGCGGAUCUGUGGCUGCCUUCGAGAGCGUUCAGAUGUGGCAAAGCCGAGCCUGUGGUUUGCUGGAAUGUUUUUGUGCUAAUCCUGUUGCCUUUCCCUUCGGAAGGGCCGGUGCGAGCGGGGCUGUGAGGGCAGAGGAGCAGCAGCACCGCUGCGUUUGCUGCAUUUGCUGCAAGGGCGCCUCUCUCUCUCUCUCUUUUUCCAAAUACUUUGUGGGAAAAGGAUGUGCACUGGGAAAAGAGCUGUGGAUGCCCCAAAUAGCCCGGAUCCGUCUGCCAGAGCCACGAGCCAGUGCAGCCCACAGAUCUGUGCCCCAUCCCAGGUUUGCCCUGUGCUGGCAAUCCCUGCGGUCCCGGAAAGCAGCUUCCCACCCUUUUUCUGCAUGCUCAAAGUGUUAUCUGUGGUCUGGGGGCUUUGCUGAGUAAUGGGAUUACCCUGCAGAGGAGGUGUGGGAUGUGCCGGACCCGGCUCGGGCAGGACAAACGAGGUGUCAGUCACGGCAGAGGGAGGGCAGCGAGUGGCCGGAGGGUUUGGGUUCUGCGUUAGCGUUUUCCCGGCAGGAUGAGCUGUGAGCGGUCCUGCCCCGGGUUCGUUCCAGCAGACGGAGCUCCGGGAGGAUGGGGAGAGCGGGCCCCGCUCCGACGGUCCGGAUGCGAUGCCUCUUACCAGAUGUUCGCAGAGGGUUCCAGCCUGAAAUCUCAGCCUUUCUCAGGAGAUUUCAGGCUCUUCCUGGUUCGCAGCGAGGGUCGGAGGAUUUCAG
Molecule: long non-coding RNA, 1553 nt
Organism: Parus major (Great Tit)
Lineage: Eukaryota; Metazoa; Chordata; Aves; Passeriformes; Paridae
Source: Ensembl